AUUGAACGCUGGCGGCAGGCCUAACACAUGCAAGUCGAGCGAGAGGCGGCCGGGUGAGUAAUGUAUGGGGCCUGCCAGAUAGAGGGGGAUAACUAAUGGAAACGGUAGCUAAUACCGCAUACUAUCGGAUAACCCAUAUGGGAGUUGCUGGGUGGUGUGGUGAUGGCCCACCAAGGCGACGAUCCCUAGCUGGUUUGAGAGGAAGACCAGCCAAACGGGGACUGAGACACGGCCCAGACUCCUACGGAGGCAGCAGUGGGGAAUAGUGCACAAUGGGCGCAAGCCUGGUGCAGCCAUGCCGCGUGUAUGAAGAAGGCCUUAGGGUUGUAAAGUACUUUCAGCGGUGAGGCGUUACCCGCAGAAGAAGCACCGGCUAACUCCGUGCCAGCCGCCGCGGUAAUUC
This 403-nucleotide ribosomal RNA is filed under the name uncultured bacterium. RNAcentral's name for it is "partial 16S ribosomal RNA". It matches the Rfam family "Bacterial small subunit ribosomal RNA", at positions 30 to 526 of the family's 1533-position model. The record is from RNAcentral.